AGGACGAACGCUGGCGGCGUGCUUAACACAUGCAAGUCGAGCGGUAAGGCCUUUCGGGGUACACGAGCGGCGAACGGGCGAGUAACACGUGGGUGAUCUGCCCUGCACUCUGGGAUAAGCCUGGGAAACUGGGUCUAAUACCGGAUAUGACCUGCUCUCGCAGUGGGGGUGGGUUGGAAAGAUUUAUCGGUGCAGGGAUGGGCCCGCGGCCUAUCAGCUUUGUUGGGUGGGGUAAUGGGCCUACCAAGGCGACGGACGGGUA
This 262-nucleotide ribosomal RNA is filed under the name uncultured soil bacterium. RNAcentral's name for it is "partial 16S ribosomal RNA". It matches the Rfam family "Bacterial small subunit ribosomal RNA", at positions 26 to 285 of the family's 1533-position model. The record is from RNAcentral.